CAGUUUGGGCCUUGUGCCGGAUUGCGUUUUAAGAGAAUGCGGGGUUGAUAGUGGAUUGAACCCGCCCAUCUUUCUGAAGGGGCAAAUUCCUUCCAGAACUGCCUAAUCCAAUACCGCUUUGGCCUAACAAGGACACGUGCGGAGCCUGGGCCUGAACGUCUAUUGCCAAGGUUGGUUUCUGCACAAGGGCUCAAUUGGGACUACCUCCUAAGGAACUGGCGGGAUUGUGCUUCAGCAGCAUAGACGACUCGCAUUGACGAUUCGGAACAUUUCGCAUCCAAAGGUCGAUGAAGCGUCGGUACCCUGUAAUAUCCCAGCGCGUUUAUUAAUGUAUGGUAUUGCCUGCUUACUGCGCAAUUUGGAACCGCCCCCACGAAAUCAGGUUGGCAUUGUUGGUGAUCCGCUGAAGCGAGGAGUUGGACACGCGCCAUCAUCUCACGUCCCCCGCCGGUGCGUUAUUGACCCAGGCAGCAGGUUAGUGCUUGGGAGGAGACGUAGUCAUUUAUAUGUGUGCAUCUAGAGUAAUAUUCUCAGAACGUUUUGGGACGUCACACGGGCGCGUUCGGCCAAAACGCAGCGUGUAGAGUUCCAGGACCCUGGCGGGCGGACCAUGAAAGAUUUACAUCACUUCAAAUAGACAGCGUAUAAGCUUAUGAAGCUUAAAUUCUACCCCGCAAUUGCGGCAGUUUGCCAUUGGGCGCAUUGCAUUCCUGUGCGCGGACCGGCACGUAACAUGAAAUUGUCCCGCGCGGUCAAGCUACUACGGCAAAGCAGUAAGCUAAACAGAUAAAAUAAAAUUCCUUGUUUUAAAUUAUGCGAUCACGUGAUAUAAAUAACCCAGCAAAGUCGUCCCUGCUUUCGUAGAGCCCUCGUAAACGAAAUGCCUCCAAAUCGUAAGUCCCCAACCUAGCCCUCAGGAGCUGUAAUCUAAUGUUUUCUAAAUGUAACCUAAUGUUAUAUAUAAAAGUAAUAUUCCGUCCGCUUGCAGCAGCUGGAAACCUCGAUCACACUACUGGCCGACAUCUCCACACUAUUGGUCGACAUUAGAACCUGGACAGGGUAGUUGAGUAAUCAAAGUCAUGUUGGGACAACGCAGUUUUCAGCUUUAAAAACUUGACGCAUAAAACCGCCCGGGUGUGCGUCCUACCGCAAAUGGAUGUGACAUGAACCGACGUAUAGCCUUAGAUAAAAAAGAGAUUCACGACUGCUGUCCAGCAUCAGGUCUCCGGCUGCCACGACCAGCAGCGCAUUUCUACUUGGGGUUAUAAUGGACGGAAUGAAUGAUUUCUCAAAUCUUGAUGGUCAUAAGGUGGGACUCGGAAGCUGGUUACAGCUCCACGCAGCAGGUAGAGUGCGGCGGGGUGCGUGACUGGCGGAAAGAUAAAAAUGAGGAGGGCAACAAGAAAGGAGCAAACAAGGAGGCGCAAAAGGGGGAGCCCUCAAGACGGGGGGCGCCCUGCACGGCCCCAGGCGGGCCCCCUGUAGAAGACCUCCAGGCGGCGGCGGAUGUACGGCGUCCAGGGAAUCAGGCGAAACUAGGCAAUCAGAAAGCUGCAACAGAUUCACAAGAAGCGGAUUUUUUUACGUGAAUCCUGAUCGCAUGUGUGGCACUUAACGGAUAUAUCCGUUGUGGAGGAACACAUGUCACCGCUGGCCAGUGCAGGUGGUACAACAUCUUGUCUAUCUUGCCUUCCCUUGAGCCAGGGAAUCAGGCGAAACUAGGCAAUCAGAAAGCUGCAACAGAUUCACAAGAAGCGGAUUUUUUUACGUGAAUCCUGAUCGCAUGUGUGGCACUUAACGGAUGUAUCCGUUGUGGAGGAACACAUGUCACCGCUGGCCAGUGCAGGUGGUACAACAUCUUGUCUAUCUUGCCUUAUAAAAAGACUUCAGUAGGUCCCUGACCCGUAUUUUUGUUAUGUAAUGUCUUUGGGUUGCGUCAUGAACCCAAAGCCCAGACGAGCAUCUAGGAACACGUGAAAGCGAGAGUUGAGGAUGGGGGUGGGGGUGGGGGUGGGGGUUAAGUGAACUCUCGUAGCCAUAACCAUUGUGCAGGCCCCUGAAUAUGCUGACAUUGCGUUUAGCAUGUAGUUGUUGUGUGGCUUACUGUUUUGCGACUGCUGUAGUUUGCCUCAGGCGGGUGAAGAUAAGUUUGUUUAGGAAGGCAGCAGCAGCCCCGCCCCUAUUCGGAAAGCAGCUUGGCUUGGGUCACAAAUCGAGUUGAAUGAGCUAAAACAACGCUGAACAAUAAUAAUAAUAAUAAUAACCCUGUGCUUAUAUGCGGAGUUGCUGUUGUUGCUCCACAAAUCCGACGUCGUGUUGAUGGGGGAUUGUUACACUGUGUGCGGCUCGACGAGCACCGGGGGCCCUGACCGGGUUGUGUUGUUUGCUUCAAUGUAAUGAUAGCACAAACAUCCCGCGGGUGCAGUUAAGAAGGGCCUAUCACAGAGCCUACUCUUUAUGCUUAGUGGACUAUCAUAUAGCACUUGCCGAAGCUAAGAAAAAGGAUAAUGUCUGAGGAAAGAGCGACUCAGCCGGCCCUGACCUGGAAGCCCUGGGCAUUUACCACACCUUGCUGCAGUGGCUGGCCUGCCACCGAUGGUGACUAGGCGAGGCUACAUUACUACAUUACUACAUUUCUAAUGACCUGCUGUCCGCAUGGUGGCCUUGCACGUCAACAUAUGUGCUCAGCAGUAAACCUACGCGCUCCUGACAAUCCCCAUGACGAUUCCUUUUGCAACGGUUGCCAAACCGUUGUUUAGGGCUGUCAGGGUCCUGUGUACGCGGCAUGGGGUUGUUCUCAAGCACCUUGCAGUCGUCCAUCCCUCCCGCACACUAGCUAGGUGUGGCACCCAGCCAGCCCUCACAUGCCCCUCCACCUCCACCCCACCACGUCAUUCGCAGGCUGCCCUGUCGUCCUGAUCUCGGCCAGCUCGCCCGGCUCCCGUGCGGCGGCCUCAACGGCAGGUAGCUUGGGACUUGCCAGAUCAGCAGGAGGAGCCAACAGAGUCAUGUGUAGGAGGCAGCCGCUGCAGGCGGCCAAGAGGAUGGCUGUGGUCCCGGGCAUGAGCCGCCGUCGCCAGCCAGCCAUCGCAUUGCCCAGCGCCGCGGGUGCACUGAUGUCCGUGGCGCUGCUGAUACCGCUGCUGGUGCUCCUGAACACACAAAUGGCAGUGGCACAAGAUCCGCCGUCACCAGAGCCGCCAUCGCCAGCGCCACCAUCACCGGCGCCGCCAUCACCAGCGCCGCCAUCACCAGCGCCGCCAUCACCAGCGCCNN
This 3276-nucleotide long non-coding RNA is filed under the name Volvox carteri. RNAcentral's name for it is "long non-coding RNA (VCAR_LNC002003)". The record is from RNAcentral. Lineage: Eukaryota; Viridiplantae; Chlorophyta; Chlorophyceae; Chlamydomonadales; Volvocaceae.